This 292-nucleotide ribosomal RNA is filed under the name uncultured bacterium. RNAcentral's name for it is "partial 16S ribosomal RNA". It matches the Rfam family "Bacterial small subunit ribosomal RNA", at positions 505 to 796 of the family's 1533-position model. The record is from RNAcentral.
GUGCCAGCCGCCGCGGUAAAACGUAGGACGCGAGCGUUAUCCGGAGUUACUGGGCGUAAAGGGCGGGCAGGCGGCCAGACAAGAUGGGCGUGAAAUCUCCCGGCUCAACCGGGAGAGGCCGCUCGUGACUGUUUGGCUGGAGGGCGACAGAGGAGCGUGGAAUUCCGGGUGGAGUGGUGAAAUGCGUAGAGAUCCGGAGGAACACCAGAGGCGAAGGCGGCGCUCUGGGUCGCGCCUGACGCUGAACCGCGAAAGCCAGGGGAGCGAACGGGAUUAGAUACCCUUGUAGUCC